Long non-coding RNA from Agrilus planipennis (emerald ash borer), 528 nucleotides. RefSeq lists it as uncharacterized. Lineage: Eukaryota; Metazoa; Arthropoda; Insecta; Coleoptera; Buprestidae. The record is from RefSeq and is a predicted model, not a curated record. The transcript is spliced from 3 exons.
UGACAAUAAGAAAAUGUCAUCUUCACAUAUACCGGUUCGUCGAUUUGGUUGACCCUGGAAGUGAGAAUUGAAAAGCUUCUACGUACCAAAUUGAAAUGAAUAAAGUCAAGUCUCAUUUGAGACACGUCUGGAUGAAUUUUUUUCACUUUUAAUGUGCACGAUGACAUUUUUUUUGAAAGAUCCGGGAAAUCUGGAUUAACGAACAAACGCCGAAACCUAAAGCGCAGGGACCAUGAGAAGAACCACCUUGAAUCCUACAUUCGUACGUGUUCAUACAAAUACCUGAAGAAAAGGAAGAUUGAAGAUAAUGGGAAGAUUCCAGAUUUUCAGUUUACCUUUUCUUCUGCCGUCAGUUUUUGAAAGACACUCUUCUUCGAAAGGAAUCGGAAAGAAAUUCAAAACUGCCAAAAAAUAGAUACCUAGUUGCUUUCAUUUUAAAAUUUAAAAACUAUUUAAAUGUAAUUUAAAACAGUUCUACUAUUUCAUCAAGAAAUGGUUUGAUCAGAAACUACGGUAAACACCUUUUCC